Molecule: ribosomal RNA, 253 nt
Filed under: uncultured prokaryote
Description: partial 16S ribosomal RNA
Rfam family: Bacterial small subunit ribosomal RNA
Source: RNAcentral
UACAGAGGGUGCAAGCGUUGUUCGGAAUUAUUGGGCGUAAAGGGCGCGUAGGCGGUGCGGUAAGUCUGCGGUGAAAUCUCCGGGCUCAACUCGGAAAUUGCCGCGGGGACUGCCGUGCUGGAGUGUGGGAGAGGUGAGUGGAAUUCCCGGUGUAGCGGUGAAAUGCGUAGAUAUGACAUAGAACACCAAUUGCGAAGGCAGCUCGCUACACUAUUAUUGACACUGAGGCACGAAAGCGUGGGGAUCAAACAGG